Molecule: non-coding RNA, 72 nt
Organism: Phrynosoma platyrhinos (Desert horned lizard)
Lineage: Eukaryota; Metazoa; Chordata; Lepidosauria; Squamata; Phrynosomatidae
Source: the annotation of a GenBank genome assembly
GCCAGCAAGGUAUAGUGGUUUGAGCGUUGGACUAUGACUCUGGAGACCAGGGUUCAAAUCCCUACUCAGCCA